GAGUUUGAUCAUGGCUCAGAACGAACGCUGGCGGCAGGCCUAAUACAUGCAAGUCGAGCGCGCCCUUCGGGGUGAGCGGCGGACGGGUGAGUAACGCGUGGGAAUAUGCCCUUCUCUAAGGAAUAGCCUCGGGAAACUGAGAGUAAUACCUUAUACGCCCUACGGGGGAAAGAUUUAUCGGAGAAGGAUUAGCCCGCGUCUGAUUAGGUAGUUGGUGGGGUAAAGGCCUACCAAGCCGACGAUCAGUAGCUGGUCUGAGAGGACGAUCAGCCACACUGGAACUGAGACACGGUCCAGACUCCUACGGGAGGCAGCAGUGGGGAAUUUUGGACAAUGGGGGAAACCCUGAUCCAGCCAUUCCGCGUGAGUGAAGAAGGCCUUCGGGUUGUAAAGCUCUUUCGCAAGAGAAGAAAUCUUACUAUCGAAUAAAUAGUAAGGAUGACGGUAUCCUGACAAGAAGCACCGGCUAACUACGUGCCAGCAGCCGCGGUAAUACGUAGGGUGCAAGCGUUAAUCGGAAUUACUGGGCGUAAAGCGUGCGCAGGCGGUUAUGUAAGUCAGAUGUGAAAUCCCCGGGCCUAACCUGGGAACUGCGUUUGAAACUGUAAGACUAGAGUGUGUCAGAGGGGGGUAGAAUUCCACGUGUAGCAGUGAAAUGCGUAGAUAUGUGGAGGAAUACCGAUGGCGAAGGCAGCCCCCUGGGAUAACACUGACGCUCAUGCACGAAAGCGUGGGGAGCAAACAGGAUUAGAUACCCUGGUAGUCCACGCCCUAAACGAUGUCUACUAGUUGUUGGUGGAGUAAAAUCCAUGAGUAACGCAGCUAACGCUUUAAGUUGACCGCCUGGGGAGUACGGUCGCAAGAUUAAAACUCAAAUGAAUUGACGGGGGCCCGCACAAGCGGUGGAGCAUGUGGUUUAAUUCGACGCAACGCGAAGAACCUUACCUGGUCUUGACAUCCUACGAACUUACUAGAAAUAGUUUGGUGCCUUCGGGAACGUAGUGACAGGUGCUGCAUGGCUGUCGUCAGCUCGUGUCUUGAGAUGUUGGGUUAAGUCCCGUAACGAGCGCAACCCUUGUCCUUAUUUGCCAUCAUUAGGUUGGGCACUCUAGGGAGACUGCCGGUGACAAACCGGAGGAAGGUGGGGACGACGUCAAGUCAUCAUGGCCCUUACGACCAGGGCUACACACGUGCUACAAUGGGACGUACAAAGGGUUGCGACCCCGCGAGGGUGAGCUAAUCCCAUAAAACGUUUCGUAGUCCGGAUCGCAGUCUGCAACUCGACUGCGUGAAGUCGGAAUCGCUAGUAAUCGUGAAUCAGAAUGUCACGGUGAAUACGUUCCCGGGCCUUGUACACACCGCCCGUCACACCAUGGGAGUGGGUUGCAAAAGAAGUGGGUAGACUAACCUUCGGGGGGCCGCUCACCACUUUGUGAUUCAUGACUGGGGUGAAGUCGUAACAAGGUAGCC
RNAcentral lists this ribosomal RNA (1470 nucleotides) under uncultured prokaryote. RNAcentral describes it as "partial 16S ribosomal RNA". It matches the Rfam family "Bacterial small subunit ribosomal RNA". The record is from RNAcentral.